AGGAAGUGAAGUGGCGAGUUGUUGAGGAAGAAGUAAUGUAUUUCUUUGGUUAUUGUUUUUGUAGUAAUAAUUGGCUGCACAUUGUGGUGGUUCUCCAUCAAUCUCUUUUCUGUGAAAGUUCCUGUGGCAUUCACAAGCUGCGCAUUUCAAGGCUUCUUGGGUGCCCUCCUCGCCGCUUGGCAUGAAUUCUCCACAUCCAUCGACGACGAGUCCUCCCAUGCUUGCCGCGUGAUUCCUCAAACAUUCUCGAUAUCUAACUGACGAUAUUGAUUCGGUGGUGAUAGUGGUUGAUGCUGGUGGGGGUGGUGGUGGUGGGGGUGGUGGUGAUCUAGAAAUGGACCUACCGGGAGUAGGUGUAGUGUUGGUUGCACCUGUGGCAGCAAUUGGAAGUGGAGCCGAGGCUGAAGCUGGAUCUGGGAUUAGGUCAGAAUCUCUAGUGGGUUUGGGAGUUUGAUGUUGUCGAUUCAGUGGAAGAGGAUGGUGUUCAAGGGUUUGAGUUGUAGCAGUUUGAUGACGAUGAUCUCUCUUUCUUUCUCCGAAGGUUGAAAUUAUGGAAGCAGAAGGAACUUUAUAGGAGGAAUCUCUAUUAGGUGGAUUGUAACCCAGAGAGCUUGGCAUCCCUAUUUCCUUAUCUUGGCCUCUCAGUUCCAUCGAACUGAACUGAUCUGCAAUAUAAAAGCUUCGAAUCCAAGUCUUGAUCUCAGGUACCCUCCACUUCUCAAAGCAAUAUCAUCAUCUUCCUGAUUAUUUAUUGGAAAACCAUGGCAUCUUCUUGUGAUCCUUUCAACCCUAGUUU
This 796-nucleotide unclassified non-coding RNA is filed under the name Hevea brasiliensis (rubber tree). Lineage: Eukaryota; Viridiplantae; Streptophyta; Magnoliopsida; Malpighiales; Euphorbiaceae. The record is from RNAcentral.